RNAcentral lists this ribosomal RNA (432 nucleotides) under uncultured bacterium. RNAcentral's name for it is "partial 16S ribosomal RNA". It matches the Rfam family "Bacterial small subunit ribosomal RNA", at positions 29 to 506 of the family's 1533-position model. The record is from RNAcentral.
AACGAACGCUGGCGGCAUGCCUAACACAUGCAAGUCGAACGAGACCUUCGGGUCUAGUGGCGCACGGGUGCGUAACGCGUGGGAACCUGCCCUUAGGUUCGGAAUAACUCCCCGAAAGGGGUGCUAAUACCGGAUAAUGUCUUCGUACCAAAGAUUUAUCGCCUUUGGAUGGGCCCGCGUUGGAUUAGCUAGUUGGUAGGGUAAAAGCCUACCAAGGCGACGAUCCAUAGCUGGUCUGAGAGGAUGAUCAGCCACACUGGGACUGAGACACGGCCCAGACUCCUGCGGGGGGGGGCAGGGGGGAAUAUUGGACAAGGGGGGAAAGCCUAAUCCAGCAAGGCCGGGUGAGUGAUGAGGGCCUUGGGUUUUUAAAGCUUUUUUCCCCGGGAUGAUAUUGACGGAACCGGGGGAAAAAGCCCCGCCAAACCCGGG